This 348-nucleotide transfer-messenger RNA is filed under the name Oscillospiraceae. RNAcentral describes it as "Gemmiger faecavium Standard tmRNA". It matches the Rfam family "transfer-messenger RNA". Rfam says of the family: Bacterial tmRNA, also known as 10Sa RNA or SsrA, is named for its dual tRNA and mRNA-like properties. Its role is to liberate the mRNA from a stalled ribosome. The record is from RNAcentral. Lineage: Bacteria; Bacillati; Bacillota; Clostridia; Eubacteriales. RNAcentral also lists the same sequence under 2 other names.
GGGGAUGUAAUGGUUUCGACGGGGAGAGAGGGGCGUGAGCAGCGGGCCGUGGCGGGGACCCACGAUAAAAGCCUCAAACAAAUUAACUGACAACAACACUGUUGCAGUCGCUGCCUAAUUAAAGGCAGCCGUCCUGCCCACUUUAGCACCGUGUGGGGUCAGGGCGUCGACAGGUGCUGAACGUGAACGGACUUAAGCUUUGCGGUCCGUCAUGAAUUUAUGAAGCUACCAACGCAUACAGCGCGUGUACUCGCUCAUGCUGAGGGAAUCCUAAUAAGUAUACUGCGCCCGGAGAUACUCUAACCGCUUUCUUUUCGGACAGGGGUUCGACUCCCCUCAUCUCCACCA